UUGUUGGAUUUUUAUUUUUUUUAUUUUAUUUUUGUCUUUCUCCCUUUACUGACUCAUAGCACCUGGUCAUGAUUAGAUCAGCCUACAUUUCAGAAAAUCAGGAAUAAGAAGUUAGUUUUGUUUUUGUCUAUGGAGCCUUGAAUUUCCCAGACUACCCACCCUUCCUGGAUUUGAGUCAGAAUAGUAGCAACUUUUGUAGGAGAGGAAGUAAGCUAUGAGUGUGUGUGUCUGUACAUGUGUAAUAUGUCUAACUUUGUGAGUACAGAUAAACAGUUAUUGUAUCAUGCAGCUUUUUCAUUUUCUUAUGUGUCAAGUAAGGAUGAAUAACAUUUUUCACAGAGUUGCAAUGAGGAUUAAAUGAAAUAGAGUACACUAAAUAUUUUGUAUAUACAGUAGCCAAUAAAUGUUAGCACUUGUAUUGUGUGAAGCUUGAUGGACACUAAUCUCUUAGGCUAAUAGUUUGGAGUGAAGAUCAAGAAGGAAGGUACAUGAUCUCUGUCUUUGGGAAUGUCCCAGUGUAGGUAAGGGAAAUACAAAUACGUGAUUAAAAGAAUGUAAGUAAUUGAUGCACAGAAGAUACACAAGUGAGGAUACUUACAGUUGUAUUCAUCAUACUCUACAAAUAUCUACUACAUGUAUAGUAGGCAGGCUUACUCAGUGCUGUGUCAGGAAUGACUAAGCCUUGGUGAAUAAUUAUUUGUGCACAGAACUGUUGUAAGCAAGUGAGUAUUGGCCCUUCAGAGUUAACAUUUUGAGUAAAUAAUUAUUGAUGCUAUUACUAUUAAGGUUAUAUAUUUGGAUACUGGUUUUUUAACCAACCACAAAUACUUUUGUAUUAAAGUAUCUUUGUCUACCAUGGUGGAUUUUAUUUUAUUUUUUGAAUUUUUUGAAUCUACUGAGUUUGUAUUUAAGAAUAGGAAGUGUGAUUACAAAAUGAAUUUUCCUGCGUGGCUCAUCCAAAGUGAUUCCCUAAGGCAAUUUGAGUAUCAAGUGAUAGUUUGUAUUUUCUGUAGGGCUACACAGAGAAAGGAGAAAUGGAGGAUUGAUGUUUGAGCUAGCUAGC
Molecule: long non-coding RNA, 1063 nt
Filed under: Mus musculus (house mouse)
Lineage: Eukaryota; Metazoa; Chordata; Mammalia; Rodentia; Muridae
Description: long non-coding RNA chr15:103476728-103477791
Source: RNAcentral